CCUUUCAAUGCAGCAGAAUUGCGAUGGUUGAGUAUCUCGCCUUUCGAUUCUGCCUGUAUUCUACCCUUGUUUCUCUUACACUAUUAUUUCCUCGGUAGGCUUGCCUACCGGGUGAAACCAUUUAUAACCUAUUUAAUUUUCAAUCAGCGUCUGAAAAAAUUAAUAAUUA
RNAcentral lists this unclassified non-coding RNA (169 nucleotides) under uncultured Paraphoma. Its description in RNAcentral is "sequence contains ITS1". Lineage: Eukaryota; Fungi; Ascomycota; Dothideomycetes; Pleosporales; Phaeosphaeriaceae. The record is from RNAcentral.